Scylla paramamosain (green mud crab) is the source of this 1920-nucleotide long non-coding RNA. RefSeq lists it as uncharacterized. The record is from RefSeq and is a predicted model, not a curated record. The transcript has 4 exons. Lineage: Eukaryota; Metazoa; Arthropoda; Malacostraca; Decapoda; Portunidae.
GCCGCCGUGGCGCGUCUUGAGUGGCUGUAGAGUAAUCACUGCGUUCUCAGUCUCUCUGUGUGUAAUUUGUUCUCGAGCUAAUCAAAGAGGACAUGACUUACUGCUGAGGCUGGACGACAAGCUGUACGGUGCGGAAAGGAGGACUGUGGCGGAAACUAGACAGCUCAAGGUUCGAAUCCAGCAGCUCCUGGAAUCUUAUCCGCGAGAGCGACGUAGCGAGUAAUGCGCCAUCUAUAUACAAAAUGGCGACACGGAUGCUGAAAGGCGUGGAGGGCGUCGCCGAGGUGAUAGGAAAAAGUGAUGACAGAGGCGAGUCGUGUGGAGGAGUAGGACCCGCGGCAUUGAGGAUGCGGGGGACUCGGGGACACAAAGGAGGUGUGAUUAUCUAAAGGAUUAGGCAAGUAAGUGGCGCGCUGGGGAGGCGGGUCACGGCGAUACCCCAGGCUGUCAAAGGCGGUGAUCAGCUCCUUCGUGGUGGUGGUGGUGGUGGUGUGGAGAAACACUUAACAUCUGCCUGCCUGCCUGCCCGCCCGCCCGCCCGCCCGCCCGCCCGCCCGCCACCUCCUCGCACCAAGACAAAGGCAAGACAAACCUGUACUCCUUCAUACCUUGUGACGAGCCAGGAACUCCUUAUUCCCUAAAUGGACCGAGCUGUGUGUUACUCCUUAUAGUUUCCUUACCACUCCCCGUCCUGAUGUCUCUUAUUUCUAUAUGUACGGCUCUCAUUGUCACGAAAUAUAAUGAAAGAUAAUGAACGUAGGUAACUGAUACUCGAGGUCCUCUCCCGCUUCCCUCCCUCUCUAGUGGACAUACACAAACACUUCUAUACCAGGAGGAGGAGGUGAACUGCAAGAUGGACUUUCUCUCUUUCCUUCUUAACUCUCUCGUCCUUCCCUAACACCUCUCUCUGUAAGGUUUCGCAGAUGUGGUUAAAAAUGUCAUUAGCAGUCAAAGGGUUAACGUGGUCCAGUUAUCUUGUCUCUUCCUGCUUUACUGCAUUCGGGAUGCUUCUUUUAUAACCCAACAUGUAAUUAGGACAGUCUCUCUCUCUCUCUCUCUCUCUCUCUCUCUCUCUCUCUCUCUCUCUCUCUCUCUCUCUCUCUCUCUCUCUCUCUCUCUCUCUCUCUCUCUCUCUCUCUCUCUCUCUCUCUCUCUCUCUCUCUCUCCACAACAAGGCGGUGCUCCUUCGACAGGCAGCGCUCCCCCUUAGUACCUCUUCGGCCUCUCCAGUGCUUCAUCGCGUCAUUAUCUACUCUAAAAUCUCAGCUGGGGAAUUUUCAGUACUCUCUCUCUCUCCAGUUCCCUUGACACGCGUUGAUCAGAAUUACCUGUGUGAAGGGUCUUUAUUACUAAGAGUGCUGUGUUUACCUGCCUGUCUUGCCCUUUUCAUAACACUGGGGCCUCCUUUAGAAAUAUUCAUUACGGUCAUGCGUGAAAUGAACGCUAAUCUCAGGUGAAAGAAGAAAAAUGCUGAUGUAAGAGGUUCGCCUGUCAAAAUUAAUCGGUAUAAAUAAAUAAAUAAAUAAAGUAUAUAAAUAGAUUAAAAAAAUAAAGUAAGGUGGAACUGAGUUGGCAUAAGGACUAAAUCUCAGGUUGCUUUUUCUUUGUAUGAGCGUUACUUACUGAGCUGCGACUAGCAUGUGGAAAGUAAGAUUGCUGCGGCUUCCCUUAUCAACGUGUGUGCUUUCGGGCGUGCAUGUGAGGUUAAACAAAAUAGGUUCUGUGUUCUUUUCUUUAUUAUGGGAGUAGUAAAGUAGAGGAAAAAAACAAGUGACACGCGGCAAUGCUUUAGGCGAACCGCAGCCGCUCAUACGUCAACACACACACACACACACACACACACACACACACACACACACACACACACACACACACACACACACACACACACACACACACACACACACACACACACACACA